AAGUUUGAUAUGAGAUUCGACC
RNAcentral lists this microRNA (22 nucleotides) under Panagrellus redivivus. Its description in RNAcentral is "prd-miR-5360-3p". The record is from miRBase by way of RNAcentral. Lineage: Eukaryota; Metazoa; Nematoda; Chromadorea; Rhabditida; Panagrolaimidae.